Molecule: ribosomal RNA, 504 nt
Filed under: uncultured bacterium
Lineage: Bacteria
Description: partial 16S ribosomal RNA
Rfam family: Bacterial small subunit ribosomal RNA
Source: RNAcentral
AUUGAACGCUGGCGGCAGGCCUAACACAUGCAAGUCGAGCGGUAACACAGGGAGCUUGCUCCUGGGUGACGAGCGGCGGACGGGUGAGUAAUGUCUGGGAAACUGCCUGAUGGAGGGGGACAACUACUGGAAACGGUAGCUAAUACCGCAUAACGUCGCAAGACCAAAGAGGGGGACCUUCGGGCCUCUUGCCAUCAGAUGUGCCCAGAUGGGAUUAGCUAGUAGGUGGGGUAACGGCUCACCUAGGCGACGAUCCCUAGCUGGUCUGAGAGGAUGACCAGCCACACUGGAACUGAGACACGGUCCAGACUCCUACGGGAGGCAGCAGUGGGGAAUAUUGCACAAUGGGCGCAAGCCUGAUGCAGCCAUGCCGCGUGUACGAAGAAGGCCUUCGGGUUGUAAAGUACUUUCAGCGGGGAGGAAGGCGAUAAGGUUAAUAACCUUGUCGAUUGACGUUACCCGCAGAAGAAGCACCGGCUAACUCCGUGCCAGCAGCCGCAGUAA